GUUGGCGGUAAUGAGCUUUGUUAGUUUGCAAGCUGCCAAUAAUCUCCAAAGAAGAAGCAGGGUUAAUGUUGUUUUGGGUUUGAGAGUUUAUUAAAUCAUACUUUGGGGACUGCACGGUGGUUCUCCUAACGGUUUACUUUCUUGUGGACAUUAAAAGUUAUUAGUGGCGCAGAUAACUGUAGCAAUUGUUUAUUUCUGGAAACAAACACCAAAAUUGGGACAUGUAUUCCUUUGUAAAAACACAUUAGCCACCAAAAUUUUUAAUAGGCAGCCAGGUAGGGGUCAAAUGAAGAAUUACACAGGGGUCAAAAUUUAAAAAUGCUCCAGUCAUAUUGAAUACUACACUACAUUAUUUGUCUGAUCAGAAAGAUUCCAAAAAGGUAUAAAGGUAAAAUAGUUUGGACUAUGUAUGACUGAAUAUUAUGAAAUUAUGUAGAAAAACAGCAACAAGGGUGACAAAGGUCAAUGUCAGUUUGUACAGGGGUCAAAAGUUAAAGUUGCUUUAAAAAGUGAAACAAAUUAUUGGUUAACAGGGUUUUAAAAAAGAAUAAUUUGCACCAUGUAUCAUGCUUAGUUAUCACGUGAUGGGGUAACAUAUCACAUCAUAUCAUAGAAUCCAAUGCACAUUGACCUUGUUUGACCUUUACUUUGUACUUUGGAGACCAAACAUUCAACACAGUCAAAAUUAUUCCACUUAUUAAUCAUGCUACAGAAUUCAGAAGUGAGCACCGGUGUUCUGUCGAGAUGAGGUGCCUUGCGUAACUGCAUAUGUGUUCACUGAGAAAAUUACUUGACAAAGUUUGCUUAUUUUGAUGGUCAAGUAAAUGUAUAAAUUGUUCAUCCGCACGUAGUAAGGUAUAAAAUCUACUCACUAUAAA
Thalassophryne amazonica is the source of this 878-nucleotide long non-coding RNA. RefSeq lists it as uncharacterized. The record is from RefSeq and is a predicted model, not a curated record. The transcript is spliced from 2 exons. Lineage: Eukaryota; Metazoa; Chordata; Actinopteri; Batrachoidiformes; Batrachoididae.